Long non-coding RNA from Perca flavescens (yellow perch), 1266 nucleotides. RefSeq lists it as uncharacterized. The record is from RefSeq and is a predicted model, not a curated record. The transcript has 3 exons. Lineage: Eukaryota; Metazoa; Chordata; Actinopteri; Perciformes; Percidae.
GAUAUACUGCAAUAUAUUAGUCUGGGUCACAAUGCAAUGUAUAAUAUUUUAUUAGCCAAUUGAUAAUGUAGUCAGACUGAUGCCACUGUUGUAACAUUUUUAUCGUGGUGCGAUUGUGCACACAGCUCGCAUGAGUUCAGCUCGUGACAUCGGAUCAUGUUUGGCCUCCUCCCAUUGGCUGCAGCUUAAUUGAGGCGCCUCGGUGUCUAGAGGUCGCUUCACUUCUUGGACUGACGACGGAGGAAUAACCUAGCUAGUCACCUCGCAGAUAUUACCGUUUAGUUUAAUAUUUUCGGUAAAGUUCAUGUUUCAAGGUAUAAAUUAUCGGGAUUAUAAGCGAUUGUGGUGAAGUAACAGGACCCGCAGAACACUUUUAUCAGAAACGGACCUCGGACAUCGAGCUUUGCCGAGGACAAUGGAGGAAAACGAAGCAAAAAAAGGUGUUCAAUUCAGCGACGUUUUUGCGGCCACUUGUCCACCAUGCAUUUGUCGUCAGAGAUGAUGACUUCAUAUAUGAGAUGAAGAGAAAAAGAAGAGAUGAAAGGACAGCCAGCUUACCUUGCACGGCAUCUGGAUUCACGAGAUCAGGAUGGUGGCAAACGUACCCUCUGGUUCUUCAUCACUUUCACUCAUGGAGCCGUAGUUGGCCACCAGGGAUCCCAGAGCUGAGCUCAUCUGUUUAGGCGCCACAACCAGUACACCAGUCCUGGACUCAGGAGCCGGGUCCUCUCCGUCUGAAUCUGGAAGCACAUGAGAAACUCAUUGAAAUACAUAUCAGUUACUUGUUGAUUUUUUUUUCUUCUUAAAAUGAAGACAAUAUCAAACCAACAGUAUUUGGAUUUUGUCUAUGAUGUUAAUGAUGACCCAAAACAAUAACAUAGAUGUGACAAUAAAUGCAUGGUGACAUAUUUUAGGUGGUUGUUUACAGUCUUGAAUACUGUGCCCCGUCCAUUUCAGACAAAGUCACUCACCAUGAUCACUGCUGGCCAGCGCUCCCAGUGGAUCCCCGUCCCUGCAGGGCUGGGUGAGGGGUGGAGGUCUUUCUGUAGCACUGCUGUCUGAUGGGUGAGGGCCCAGAGGGUGUUGCCCAUGGAACCCUCUGUUAGCCCAGCUACGGCCCCUACCCCGUCCUCUUCCUCUGCCUCUCAUUCGUCUGUAAAUAAAAUAUUGAGAUUUAGAUGAGAUUAGCCCAGGUCUCACGUCAAAGUAAAUGAGUCUAAAUAUACCCUUUACUCUUGUUUGCAAUAAAAGAGAAAUUAAAAAAGA